AUUGAACGCUGGCGGCAGGCCUAACGCAUGCAAGUCGAGCGGAUGAAGGGAGCUUGCUCCUGGAUUCAGCGGCGGACGGGUGAGUAAUGCCUAGGAAUCUGCCUGGUAGUGGGGGAUAACGUCCGGAAACGGGCGCUAAUACCGCAUACGUCCUGAGGGAGAAAGUGGGGGAUCUUCGGACCUCACGCUAUCAGAUGAGCCUAGGUCGGAUUAGCUAGUUGGUGGGGUAAAGGCCUACCAAGGCGACGAUCCGUAACUGGUCUGAGAGGAUGAUCAGUCACACUGGAACUGAGACACGGUCCAGACUCCUACGGGAGGCAGCAGUGGGGAAUAUUGGACAAUGGGCGAAAGCCUGAUCCAGCCAUGCCGCGUGUGUGAAGAAGGUCUUCGGAUUGUAAAGCACUUUAAGUUGGGAGGAAGGGCAGUAAGUUAAUACCUUGCUGUUUUGACGUUACCAACAAAAUAAGCACCGGCUAACUUCGUG
This 484-nucleotide ribosomal RNA is filed under the name uncultured bacterium. RNAcentral describes it as "partial 16S ribosomal RNA". It matches the Rfam family "Bacterial small subunit ribosomal RNA", at positions 30 to 507 of the family's 1533-position model. The record is from RNAcentral.